GAUGAACGCUGACAGAAUGCUUAGCACAUGCAGGUCAACUUGAAUUUGGGUUUUUAACUUAGAUUUGGGUGGCGGACGGGUGAGUAACGCGUAAAGAACUUGCCUCACAGCUAGGGACAACAUUUAGAAAUGAAUGCUAAUACCUGAUAUUAUGAUUUUAAGGCAUCUUAGAAUUAUGAAAGCUAUAAGCACUGUGAGAGAGCUUUGCGUCCCAUUAGCUAGUUGGAGAGGUAACAGCUCACCAAAGCGAUGAUGGGUAGCCGGCCUGAGAGGGUGAACGGCCACAAGGGGACUGAGACACGGCCCUUACUCCUACGGGAGGCAGCAGUGGGGAAUAUUGGACAAUGGACCAAGAGUCUGAUCCAGCAAUUCUGUGUGCACGAUGAAGUUUUUCGGAAUGUAAAGUGCUUUCAGUUGGGAAGAAAAAAAUGAUGGUACCAACAGAAGAAGUGACGGCUAAAUACGUGCCAGCAGCCGCGGUAAUACGUAUGUCACAAGCGUUAUCCGGAUUUAUUGGGCGUAAAGCGCGUCUAGGUGGUUAUGUAAGUCUGAUGUGAAAAUGCAGGGCUCAACUCUGUAUUGCGUUGGAAACUGUGUAACUAGAGUACUGGAGAGGUAAGCGGAACUACAAGUGUAGAGGUGAAAUUUGUAGAUAUUUGUAGGAAUGCCGAUGGGGAAGCCAGCUUACUGGACAGAUACUGACGCUGAAGCGCGAAAGCGUGGGUAGCAAACAGG
Molecule: ribosomal RNA, 735 nt
Filed under: uncultured Fusobacterium sp.
Lineage: Bacteria; Fusobacteriati; Fusobacteriota; Fusobacteriia; Fusobacteriales; Fusobacteriaceae
Description: bacterial SSU rRNA
Rfam family: Bacterial small subunit ribosomal RNA
Source: RNAcentral